RNAcentral lists this ribosomal RNA (249 nucleotides) under uncultured bacterium. RNAcentral describes it as "partial 16S ribosomal RNA". It matches the Rfam family "Bacterial small subunit ribosomal RNA", at positions 524 to 776 of the family's 1533-position model. The record is from RNAcentral.
UACGAGGGGUGCACGUUAUCGGAAUACUGGGCGUAAAGCGUGCGCAGGCGGUGAUGUAAGACAGAUGUGAAAUCCCCGGGCUCAACCUGGGAACUGCAUUUGUGACUGCAUCGCUGGAGUGCGGCAGAGGGGGAUGGAAUUCCGCGUGUAGCAGUGAAAUGCGUAGAUAUGCGGAGGAACACCGAUGGCGAAGGCAAUCCCCUGGGCCUGCACUGACGCUCAUGCACGAAAGCGUGGGGAGCAAACAGG